GUGGGGAAUCUUGCGCAAUGGGCGAAAGCCUGACGCAGCCAUGCCGCGUGAAUGAUGAAGGUCUUAGGAUUGUAAAAUUCUUUCACCGGGGACGAUAAUGACGGUACCCGGAGAAGAAGCCCCGGCUAACUUCGUGCCAGCAGCCGCGGUAAUACGAAGGGGGCUAGCGUUGCUCGGAAUUACUGGGCGUAAAGGGCGCGUAGGCGGAUCGUUAAGUCGGGGGUGAAAUCCCAGAGCUCAACCUUGGAAUUGCCUUUGAUACUGGCUGUCUUGAGUUUGGGAGAGGUGAGUGGAACUCCGAGUGUAGAGGUGAAAUUCGUAGAUAUUCGGAAGAACACCAGUGGCGAAGGCGACUCACUGGCCCAAUACUGACGCUGAGGCGCGAAAGCGUGGGGAGCAAACAGGAUUAGAUACCCUAGUAGUCC
Molecule: ribosomal RNA, 425 nt
Filed under: uncultured bacterium
Lineage: Bacteria
Description: partial 16S ribosomal RNA
Rfam family: Bacterial small subunit ribosomal RNA
Source: RNAcentral